GACUCAAAUUAAUAAACCCUUCUCUCUUUCCCAAUCACGUUUUCACUCCCCCCUCUCUCUCUCUCUAACCCUAAUAAUACGUCGUCGAUAUCACUAUCAUUGCAGGUCGUCACCGUCGCCGCCAUCCCUAAUCAGUACUUUCGUCACCGUCGCCACCGUCCCUAAUCAGUACCGCCGUCGCCAUCGCCAUCGCGUCCACAGCCAAUCAUUUGAGGAUUAUGUGCCCACUGUAUAGCCACUGUCAAUCUAGGGUUGUGGGAUACUGCUGAGUGAUAUUAAAAGGAACAACAAACAUAGAUGGCAGGCGAAAAGAGGAGUAAGAAAACAAAGAAAGCUAAGGAGACGGGGGUUCCCUGGAGACCACCAGAAAACCUUGCGAUUAGAGAUAGAAGCCCGUCGCCACGUCUCCCACCACGCGGCUCUCCAUUGCCUCAUGAUCCCCUCAUGAAUGGCAUUUCAUAUAGUCUUCCACCUCCAUAUGAUUUGUGGAUUGUGCCCAAACUUUUUAUGUUGAGGGAGAAAUAUCAUUACCAUGUGAAUUCCAGUUCUUUUACGUGCUUUUAUGCCCAGAGUGUAAGCACUUGGUACGAAUCAAGCGGAAGAAGGAGGUCCAAUGCAUUAACUGCAAGCUCCACAGAAUGCUAAUGCCAAGAUGCGAAUUUGAAGUUGAAAUCACAGAUGGCAGCGGAACAAUAGUAGCAAUAGUGUCAGACAAAUUGGCUGAAAGAAUGCUCUCAAUGACAGCAGAACAAAUAGAUGAAACUACCGUUAUCAAGGUGCACAUACAUACAGCACUAACAUUAAUUCAUCUUAUGGAAUUUUAUUGAAAAUCUUUAAUUAAUGAUUCAACAACGUUCGAACUUCUUUGCACAAAAACAAUUGUUACCUGUUGAGCAUAUCAGGGAAGAACUGUUGCACAAAUCGUUCAAAAUUCACCUACAGAAGUCAGUACUCUGGACACCGGAUAGAACCCCCGGCUCAUUAGUCGUUUUAUCUUACAGCCAAAAACAAACCAUGUUCGGUUCACUGCAAUGCUCAACACCGAUAACCAUUAGCGAGGGAACUAAAAGAAAGAUAGAUUAUAUCACUCCUACUGAAGAAGAUCCCACUUCGUCAACACAAGAUGUGUCAUUGAGCAAAAAAUCAAAAAAACACUGAAGACCAGGAAGCAGAUUUAGAGCAGCAACUAUAACUACUUUUUGGUAUCCUACAGCAGCUAUAACACUUAUGUUCGAAACAAAUUUUGAUGCAGUUGUUCCCUGCAGUACAAUACUUCAAAUUUUUGUGUAAAUAAGUGUAUGUACUGUGCGUUUGUAUAUGCUUGUAAAUGUGGGAAAUACUUGUUUUAGCUGCUGUAGUUCGAAACAAAUUUUGAUGCAGUUGUUCGAUGCAGUACAAUACUCCAAAUUUUGUGUAAAUAAGUGUGUGUACUGUGCGUUCA
Lycium barbarum (goji berry) is the source of this 1441-nucleotide RNA transcript. It is a transcript of the gene named pentatricopeptide repeat-containing protein At1g52640, mitochondrial-like, with no coding region annotated. Lineage: Eukaryota; Viridiplantae; Streptophyta; Magnoliopsida; Solanales; Solanaceae. The record is from RefSeq and is a predicted model, not a curated record. The transcript has 6 exons.